AGCAACCGCGGUAAUUCCAGCUCCAAUAGCGUAUAUUAAAGUUGUUGCAGUUAAAAAGCUCGUAGUUGAAUUUCGGGAUCAAUACGUCGGUCGUGCUUCGGUACGUACUGGCGUAAUUGAUUUCUCCCUUCUGACGAACCAUGAUGUCAUUAACUUGGUGUCAUGGGAAAUCAGGACUGUUACUUUGAAAAAAUUAGAGUGUUUAAAGCAGGCUCACGCUUGAAUACAUUAGCAUGGAAUAAUGAAAUAGGACGUUCGAUCCUAUUUUGUUGGUUUUUAGGAUCAACGUAAUGAUUAAUAGGGAUAGUUGGGGGCAUUAGUAUUCAAUUGUCAGAGGUGAAAUUCUUGGAUUUAUUGAAGACUAACUACUGCGAAAGCAUUUGCCAAGGAUGUUUUCAUUAAUCAAGAACGAAAGUUAGGGGAUCGAAGACGAUCAGAUACCGUCGUAGUCUUAACCAUAAACUAUGCCGACUAGGGAUCGGAUGAUGUUAAUUUUUUAAUGACUCAUUCGGCGCCUUAC
RNAcentral lists this unclassified non-coding RNA (520 nucleotides) under uncultured Glomus. Its description in RNAcentral is "SSU rRNA". It matches the Rfam family "Eukaryotic small subunit ribosomal RNA", at positions 569 to 1091 of the family's 1831-position model. The record is from RNAcentral. Lineage: Eukaryota; Fungi; Glomeromycota; Glomeromycetes; Glomerales; Glomeraceae.